CUGCAACCCGACUCCGUGAAGCUGGAUUCGCUAGUAAUCGCGCAUCAGCCAUGGCGCGGUGAAUACGUUCCCGGGCCUUGUACACACCGCCCGUCAAGCCAUGGGAGCCGGGAGUGCCUGAAGGCCGUGACCGCAAGGAGCGGCCUAAGGUAAAACUGGUGACUGGGGCUAAGUCGUAACAAGGUAAC
RNAcentral lists this ribosomal RNA (188 nucleotides) under uncultured bacterium. RNAcentral describes it as "partial 16S ribosomal RNA". It matches the Rfam family "Bacterial small subunit ribosomal RNA", at positions 1305 to 1500 of the family's 1533-position model. The record is from RNAcentral.